This 347-nucleotide unclassified non-coding RNA is filed under the name uncultured fungus. Its description in RNAcentral is "partial contains small subunit ribosomal RNA, internal transcribed spacer 1, and 5.8S ribosomal RNA". The stretch from base 1 to 73 matches the Rfam family "Eukaryotic small subunit ribosomal RNA", at positions 1759 to 1831 of the family's 1831-position model. Lineage: Eukaryota; Fungi. The record is from RNAcentral.
GCAAACUUGGUCAUUUAGAGGAAGUAAAAGUCGUAACAAGGUUUCCGUAGGUGAACCUGCGGAAGGAUCAUUAUUGAAUAACUCCUUUGGUUGGGUUGUUGCUGGCUCUUUGGAGCGCAUGUGCACACCUAUACCAUAAGUUGUCCCACCUGUGCACACCGCAUAGAUCCGGAGUACUGUGAAAUAAAAGCUUGGUCACAGGCUAAUUCUCGUAUUCCAGAUCUCUGUCUUAUUCUACACACACAAAUGUAUGAGAAUGUUGUUUAUAGGCAUUUAAAUGUCCAUUAAAUUACAAAACAACUUUCAACAACGGAUCUCUUGGCUCUCGCAUCGAUGAAGAACGCAGC